CAUUUACACACUUUAAAAACAGCUUUAUUGGGAUAUAGUAUAAAAUGCACACCCAUUUCAAGUAUAUUUUUAGUAUAUUUCUUAGUAUAUUCAGAGUUGUGCAGCCAUCUCUACCAUCAACUUCAGAUCAUUUUCAUCACCCUCAAAGAAAUCCCACAUCCAUUAGCAGCCACCCUUAAUUUCCCCCAUAUAGUAAUCUGCUUCCAGUCUCUAUAAAUUCACUUAUUCUAGACAUUCUACAUAAGUGGAAUUACAUAACACAUGGCCUUUGGGGACUGGCUUCUCUCACUAAGCAUCACAUUUUCAACAGUCACCAUGCUGUAGCUUGUGCCCAUACCUCAGUCCUUUUUGUGGCUGACUCAUGUUCCACAUUUUAAUCUGUCCACCUGUUGAUGGGCAUUUUGAUUGUUUCUACUUUCUGGUUGUUGUGACUAACAUUGGUAUGAAUAUUUGUGUAGGUGUUUUUCUGCACAUUCUUUCAAUAAUCAUUUUUACUCCUUUUAUUAAAGACUGAAAGUUAUAAACACCUGUUCUCUCAUUGAACAACAGUGCAAAUAUUCAUUGAAAUGACUGAGGCAUUUACAAUAGAAGCAGCAGUUGGGUGUGGUGAAGGGAAAGUAGGUCGGGAGUCAGGACACAGAAUUUCUUUUUUUUUCUUCAUUCAAUAAAGAUUUAUUAAAAUAGAGUAUAAGGCAUUAUAUUGGAUACUGAAGAUUGCACAUCGUAACUGUUCCAUCAUUUAUUAAAAAAAAAAAAAUUGUUGCCCAUUCUGUCCUAGAAAACAAAGAUCAUUCACUUAUCUUCCUAGGGCCUCACGCUCAUCAGCAGUGGGAACAAGACCUAGACCUGGGUAUACCUGGGGGGCUGGGCAAAGCAGGCAAAAUGGUACACCCGAGAGAGUCCUAGCCUACCAGGGACUCAACAAACAUAAUAAUUUGACCCAGAUGACACGAGAGAUGACUUGUAUUCAUUUGCCUUUCCACACUGAAGGUAAAGAAGUGCUUCCUACUCAAUAGUAAAAAUGUUCAACACACUGGGAAUUGCCUGUAGAACGAGAAACACACAAGCUUCGCUGCCUUAUAGAAAACAGGUUCACUUUUUGUAAGUGGUUGAAUUUUUAAACAUUACCUCCAAAGGUGAAAAGACCUUAAAGCAACAGGAGUAGGUCAGAAUGAAAAGAAUUAAUUGGUACCUGACAAUCUGCCAUGGAGAAAGGAAAAAGCAAAAAGACCUUCCGUAAAACCUUCAAGUUUCUGGCAUUGCACUUUUCCGACUUUGCCAGAAGAUGGCGACGUGGACCCACAAGGUUGCAUUACUGCAACGCUGGCGAUCGAAGGACAGGGACUUAGAGGGCAGCUAAGUUGUGCUGUAUGGAGACUUCUGUUCCUUGUCAGUUGCAUUGCAGAGGUCUAGGCACCACUAAGCACAUUCGUAGGGGAGGAAAAAAGGACAUGUGGAAGAAUGAUGUGUUUACAAAGGCUACAGGAAUCUAAUGCAAUUUGCAAACGGCUUGAGGUAUAACUCCAGAUGUCACCAGAAUAAAGAUAUUGGGGGUGAGGGUGGGCAUGACGACACUAAAACAAAGAACAUUAUGCAAUUAGUAUCAAACAAUUAUCUUUUUAUGCUACAUCUAUUCCAAGGAAUAUUAUCAUUCAUUAAAAAUCAAUUAGUAUCACAAUAUGACACCAAAACCACAAGCAACCAAAGAAAAAUGAAAUUGAACUUCAUCAAAACUAAAACUUUUAUGCUUCAAAGACCACCAUCAAGAAAGUGAAAUGACAAUCCAUAGAAAUAGGAGAAAAUGUUUGCAAAUCAUAUACCUGACAAGGGGCUCGUAUCUAAAAUACAUAAAGAAGUCUAACAAUUUAUAAAGACAACCCAAUUUUAAAAUGGGCCAAGAAUUAAGAUAGACACCUCCCUAAAGAUGUCCACGUGGCCACUAAAGUACAUGAAGAGAUGUUCAGCAUCAUGAGCCAUCAAGGAUACGCUAAUUCAAAACCCCCAACGAGAUACCACUUCAUCAUCAUUAGGAUGGCUACAGUAACAAAGACAAGUGUUGGCAAGGGUGUGAAGUAAUCGGAAUCCUCCUACACUGCCGGGUGGGAAUGUAAAGUGGUACAACUGCUUUGGAAAAGUCUGGAAAUUCCUCAAAAGAUGAAACCCAUACCAUAUGACCCAGUAAUUCCACUUCUAGGUAUAUGCCUAGAAGGGAAUAGAAAUCAUAUGUCCACCUAAAAUUUGUACACAAAUGCUCAGAGCAACAUUAUUCACAAAAAUGCCCAUCAACUGAUGAAUGGAUAAGCAAAAGAGGGUCUAUCCAUAUUGUGGAAUAUUUAGCCAUAAGAAGGAAUGAAGUACUGACACAUGCUACAACAUGAGUGAAC
Bos taurus (domestic cattle) is the source of this 2384-nucleotide long non-coding RNA. NCBI's taxonomy places the organism in Eukaryota, Metazoa, Chordata, Mammalia, Artiodactyla, Bovidae. The record is from Ensembl.